GAAAAAAGUCCUUACGAAUCUUACCGGGC
Molecule: non-coding RNA, 29 nt
Filed under: Bombyx mori (domestic silkworm)
Lineage: Eukaryota; Metazoa; Arthropoda; Insecta; Lepidoptera; Bombycidae
Source: RNAcentral